This 253-nucleotide ribosomal RNA is filed under the name uncultured bacterium. Its description in RNAcentral is "partial 16S ribosomal RNA". It matches the Rfam family "Bacterial small subunit ribosomal RNA", at positions 524 to 776 of the family's 1533-position model. The record is from RNAcentral.
UACGGAAGGGGCAAGCGUUGUUCGGAUUUAUUGGGUUUAAAGGGUGCGUAGGCGGUCCUAUAAGUCAGUGGUGAAAUACUCUAGCUUAACUAGAGGGGUGCCAAUGAUACUGUAGGACUUGAGUACAGAUGAGGUAGGCGGAAUUGACGGUGUAGCGGUGAAAUGCAUAGAUAUCGUCAAGAACACCUAUAGCGAAGGCAGCUUACUGGGCUGUAACUGACGCUGAGGCACGAAAGUGUGGGGAUCAAACAGG